GUGACGAACUCAUCUGCAACCAUGAGUAAAACUGAUUUAACUACACUGUUUUUCUGCAUUUUAUUAUACGAGAAGGAAGCAGAAUUAAAGACUGUCUAUCCAUUUUCACUCCGAUUGUGACCCUACCAGCACUGAGACGGACGACGAAUUCACUUGUUUUUUACUCCUCGCCUGUAUAUCAAGUUGCUGGUGAUGAAGUCACAUUUGGAGGUUGGAUGAUCAGCAGUGAAAACAACAUCAUCUGUGAAGGAAAGAUGAAGCUGCGAGGACACUGGAGUUUGUUCAAAGAUGCUUAAUUGGUGUGAACCCUAAGAGGUGAACAAAAGCCAGGCAGGUGAAGGUGUCCGAGAAGACAGGAAAGCUUAUCCAGAAAAACGCAGCAACUGUUAAUCC
Non-coding RNA from Paramisgurnus dabryanus, 393 nucleotides. Lineage: Eukaryota; Metazoa; Chordata; Actinopteri; Cypriniformes; Cobitidae. The record is from RefSeq and is a predicted model, not a curated record.